GUGUAGCGGUGGAAUGCGCAGAUAUCAGGAGGAACACCGAUGGCGAAGGCAGAUCUCUGGGCCGUAACUGACGCUGAGGAGCGAAAGCAUGGGGAGCGAACAGGAUUAGAUACCCUGGUAGUCCAUGCCGUAAACGUUGGGAACUAGUUGUGGGGGCCAUUCCACGGUCUCCGUGACGCAGCUAACGCAUUAAGUUCCCCGCCUGGGGAGUACGGCCGCAAGGCUAAAACUCAAAGGAAUUGACGGGGGCCCGCACAAGCGGCGGAGCAUGCGGAUUAAUUCGAUGCAACGCGAAGAACCUUACCAAGGCUUGACAUAUACGAGAACGGGCCAGAAAUGGUCAACUCUUUGGACACUCGUAAACAGGUGGUGCAUGGUUGUCGUCAGCUCGUGUCGUGAGAUGUUGGGUUAAGUCCCGCAACGAGCGCAACCCUCGUCCUAUGUUGCCAGCACGUAAUGGUGGGAACUCAUGGGAUACUGCCGGGGUCAACUCGGAGGAAGGUGGGGAUGACGUCAAAUCAUCAUGCCCCUUAUGUCUUGGGCUUCACGCAUGCUACAAUGGCCGGUACAAAGGGCUGCAAUACCGUAAGGUGGAGCGAAUCCCAAAAAGCCGGUCUCAGUUCGGAUUGAGGUCUGCAACUCGACCUCAUGAAGUCGGAGUCGCUAGUAAUCGCAGAUCAGCAACGCUGCGGUGAAUACGUUCCCGGGCCUUGUACACACCGCCCGUCAAGUCAUGAAAGUCGGUAACACCCGAAGCCAGUGGCCUAACCCGUAAGGGGAGGAGCUGUCGAAGGUGGGAUUGGUGAUUAGGACUAAGUCGUAACAAGGUACCAAUCCCGCG
This 841-nucleotide ribosomal RNA is filed under the name uncultured Actinomycetes bacterium. RNAcentral's name for it is "bacterial SSU rRNA". It matches the Rfam family "Bacterial small subunit ribosomal RNA", at positions 673 to 1509 of the family's 1533-position model. Lineage: Bacteria; Bacillati; Actinomycetota; Actinomycetes. The record is from RNAcentral.